CGCGGCCUAUCAGCUUGUUGGUGGGGUGAUGGCCUACCAAGGCGACGACGGGUAGCCGGCCUGAGAGGGUGUCCGGCCACACUGGGACUGAGAUACGGCCCAGACUCCUACGGGAGGCAGCAGUGGGGAAUAUUGCACAAUGGGCGCAAGCCUGAUGCAGCGACGCCGCGUGGGGGAUGACGGCCUUCGGGUUGUAAACCUCUUUCAGUAGGGACGAAGCGCAAGUGACGGUACCUACAGAAGAAGCACCGGCCAACUACGUGCCAGCAGCCGCGGUAAUACGUAGGGUGCGAGCGUUGUCCGGAAUUACUGGGCGUAAAGAGCUCGUAGGUGGUUUGUCGCGUUGUUCGUGAAAACUCACAGCUUAACUGUGGGCGUGCGGGCGAUACGGGCAGACUGGAGUACUGCAGGGGAGACUGGAAUUCCUGGUGUAGCGGUGGAAUGCGCAGAUAUCAGGAGGAACACCGGUGGCGAAGGCGGGUCUCUGGGCAGUAACUGACGCUGAGGAGCGAAAGCGUGGGGAGCGAACAGGAUUAGAUACCCUGGUAGUCCACGCCGUAAACGGUGGGUACUAGGUGUGGGUUUCCUUCCUUGGGAUCCGUGCCGUAGCUAACGCAUUAAGUACCCCGCCUGGGGAGUACG
RNAcentral lists this ribosomal RNA (642 nucleotides) under uncultured Actinomycetes bacterium. RNAcentral describes it as "bacterial SSU rRNA". It matches the Rfam family "Bacterial small subunit ribosomal RNA", at positions 232 to 884 of the family's 1533-position model. The record is from RNAcentral. Lineage: Bacteria; Bacillati; Actinomycetota; Actinomycetes.